CCUACGGGGGGCAGCAGUGAGGAAUAUUGGUCAAUGGGCGAGAGUCUGAACCAGCCAAGCCGCGUGAAGGAUGAAGGAUCUAUGGUUUGUAAACUGCUUUUAUAUGGGAAUAAAGUGAGGUACGUGUCUCUGUUUGUAUGUAUCAUACGAAUACGCAUCGGCUAACUCCGUGCCAGCAGGCGCGGUAAUACGGAGGAUGCGAGCGUUAUCCGGAUUUAUUGGGUUUAAAGGGUGCGUAGGUGGUUAGUUAAGUCAGCGGUGAAAGUUUGAGGCUCAACCAUAAAAUUGCCGUGGAAACUGGUUGACGGGAGAAUAUUUGAGGUAGGCGGAAUGCAUGGGGUAGCGGUGAAAGGCAUAGAUAUCAGACAGAACUCCGAUUGCGAAGGCAGCGUACGAAACUAUAACUGACACUGAGGCACGAAAGCGUGGGGAGCAAACAGGAUUAGAUACCCUAGUAGUC
This 460-nucleotide ribosomal RNA is filed under the name uncultured bacterium. Its description in RNAcentral is "partial 16S ribosomal RNA". It matches the Rfam family "Bacterial small subunit ribosomal RNA", at positions 338 to 795 of the family's 1533-position model. The record is from RNAcentral.